RNAcentral lists this ribosomal RNA (315 nucleotides) under uncultured eukaryote. RNAcentral's name for it is "partial 18S ribosomal RNA". It matches the Rfam family "Eukaryotic small subunit ribosomal RNA", at positions 1470 to 1796 of the family's 1831-position model. The record is from RNAcentral.
CCCUUAGAUGUUCUGGGCAGCACGCGCGCUACACUGACCGGUGCAACAAGCAUCCGUCCUUGGCCGACAGGCCCGGGCAAUCUUUGAACGCCGGUCGUGAUGGGGAUAGACUUUUGCAAUUUUUGGUCUUCAACGAGGAAUUCCUAGUAAACGCAAGUCAUCAACUUGCAUUGAUUACGUCCCUGCCCUUUGUACACACCGCCCGUCGCACCUACCGAUUGAAUGGUCCGGUGAAGCCUCCGGAUUGGCGCGCACCUCGGUGCCGCCGAGAAGUUGGCUAAACCUUACCAUUUAGAGGAAGGUGAAGUCGUAACA